Molecule: ribosomal RNA, 466 nt
Filed under: uncultured bacterium
Lineage: Bacteria
Description: bacterial SSU rRNA
Rfam family: Bacterial small subunit ribosomal RNA
Source: RNAcentral
CCAGACUCCUACGGGAGGCAGCAGUGAGGAAUAUUGGUCAAUGGGCGCAAGCCUGAACCAGCCAAGUCGCGUGAGGGAAGACGGCCCUACGGGUUGUAAACCUCUUUUGCCGGGGAGCAAGCCUGAGCACGUGUGCCCAGGCGGAGAGUACCCGGAGAAAAAGCAUCGGCUAACUCCGUGCCAGCAGCCGCGGUAAUACGGAGGAUGCGAGCGUUAUCCGGAUUUAUUGGGUUUAAAGGGUGCGUAGGCGGGCUGUUAAGUCAGCGGUAAAAGCCCGGGGCUCAACCCCGUACUGCCGUUGAAACUGCAUCCCUUGAGUGCGCGAGAAGUAUGCGGAAUGCGUGGUGUAGCGGUGAAAUGCAUAGAUAUCACGCAGAACUCCGAUUGCGAAGGCAGCAUACCGGCGCGCAACUGACGCUCAUGCACGAAAGCGUGGGUAUCGAACAGGAUUAGAUACCCCAGUAUU